Long non-coding RNA from Thunnus maccoyii (southern bluefin tuna), 2141 nucleotides. RefSeq lists it as uncharacterized. The record is from RefSeq and is a predicted model, not a curated record. The transcript is spliced from 2 exons. Lineage: Eukaryota; Metazoa; Chordata; Actinopteri; Scombriformes; Scombridae.
UACCUUAUAACUUUAAUGUUGGUAUGUUUAGUGGAAGGUGUUCAGGGAAAUGUAGGAAAACACUACAUGAAGCAGGCUGAAGGAAAGUAGAAUAAAACAAAGUGAAGAUGACAGAAUAAUUUCCAACAGAAAAAGAAAAUCUUUUUAGCGAUGAGACAUUUUUUACAGCGUUCUCUUCAUUGAUUAUAAACGAGCAUCUGCACAUGUCUCAGCUCCCGCUUCCUGUUUCCUCUGCAGACUCCUCAGACUGACAGUUAUGAAUAAUAACUACGGGACACCAGAGGUAACAGAAACAAUAAAAAAUUCAUACGACUGAAGCGCUUGUAUCGAUCUCUUCCAGGCGAGUGUUUUCUUUGAUCGUUCAGCGGUGAAGCAAACAGGAAUAAUGAACGAACGGCAGUCUCUGUGUUGUGCUGACUCGGCCCUUUCUCAGGAUAAUCUGUUGUGUUGUGAGUUGAAUCUGAGCCGUUUGUGCUAAAGGACGGCGUUUAGUCCAAGGUGAGAAGGAUCAAUAACCACAGUCUGAGCAGUGAUGGGAAACUGAUGAGAGCUCAUCUUUGACCUUUAACUGGUAAUGAGAUGCAGAUAUCUGCAGAAGAAACUCACUUCAGAUGAGAGGACUUCCUGUUGGCGUUGAAAAUCCCAUUUUGGGGGGACGCUUUCAGUCUGACUGUGAUGGAGAAGCAAAGCAGCUGUCAGCAGAUUGGCAGGCGGGUGUUUUUGAAUGAGAGCCAGUCGGGAUGAAGGACUUAUUUCUGUCACAGAGGAUGAUCCCACACAGCGAGGCUGAAGCUCUGAACCCUCAGCCUGACUCGUCCUCACUCAGCUGGGUUUUUGAUCCGCGCUCUCAGGAGGAUUCACACCGACACGGUUUUACCAAAUUUCUCCAGCGAGAGUCGUUGCAAAUGUGAUUCAGGAGUCCCCGGGGAAAUAAGCAUGUAAGGUGCUGCUGCUGUUUGCCCGUCAGGCAAAGUAAUAUCCUCAGCCUGUUAGACGGAGCAAUAAUCUGCACAGGAGGGACGUCUGCACCCUCGGGACCAUGAGCGACGCCCAGGGAGAGUCUGCCGGGGUUUAUGAGGCCAUUGUCACAUUCAGUGUCAAUGUCCUCAUCACACAGAUGGUGAAAAACAGAGAGAGAGCUUCCCUGCGGUAGAGACUGAGCUGAGGAGGAAACAUAAACAGUCCUGGGUUCGCACCUAACAUGUCUAAGAGCAGGAAAUCACCCCUAAGUGGCCAAAAAUUCUCAGACCAUGUCCACAUUGGUCUGAGAAUGUCUUUCUCUCCAUUUUGGCCUCCGUCCAGACUAAAACAGUGUUUUUCUCCCCCCAAAACAGAGCUUUUCCAAAACAUCUCGCCUCACCGGCUUGGCGUUGCGGUGUGAACGAGGAAAAUGGAGCUUUGUAGAAACGCUGUCAUACCGCUGACAGCAAAAACAUUUUUAUCAGCUUUUUAAACAUGCUGAAGGAAAUCUUUCCAAUCUGUGCUGAUCUUUCGGAGCUGCAUUCAGGCAGAUAUUCUGUGAGCAGAAGGCUUGAUGAAAAUAAGACUGUUGAAAGAUUGUUUUGACAAAAUAAAAAAUAAAAACAAAUAAUAUUUGAGACUGGCCUGGUGCACGAUGCAGAGGAGGACACAUAUUGUCCCUGUAAACACUGACAUCCUCACAUUACACUUUAUUAUAACUGGGAACAGCUUUGUGACUAUGAUGAUUCUGUUACGAACAACAACUUCAGCAGUCGUAAAUCAAACUUUGAUCACACUUAAUACUCGUCAUAAAAAUAACAUGGAGCAGGAGGAAGCUCCUCAGUGAGAGCGACUCAGACUGAUACAAACACAUUCGUGUUCUGCUGCUACUGUCUUUUCUCUUAUUGUUAUUUACUUAUUUCAAAUAAUUGUGUGAACGUAGGUGUGACUUUGUUUCAUUUCUAUCUACAUACCUGCAGAAAUAUGUGUGUUUUAUUAGUAGUAGUAUUCAUGCAGUUUACAGUGAGAGGGAAAUAUCCCGUUACGCUAACCAACGUUGUUCGGUCAUUAUUAGUUUAGUCAUUUGAGGUGAUUGUGUUUUUUUUAUGUAAAAUGUAAAGUUUAUUGUAGCAUUUCCAUCUGUAGUGUCUGAACAGAAUAAAAAAGAGCAAAAGAUUAAA